ACACAUGCAAGUCGAGGGGCAGCAUGAUUGAAGCUUGCUUCAAUUGAUGGCGACCGGCGCACGGGUGAGUAACGCGUAUCCAACCUUCCGCUUACUCGGGGAUAGCCUUUCGAAAGAAAGAUUAAUACCCGAUGGUAUGAUGAGAUUGCAUGAUAGCAUCAUUAAAGAUUUAUUGGUAAGCGAUGGGGAUGCGUUCCAUUAGGUAGUAGGCGGGGUAACGGCCCACCUAGCCGACGAUGGAUAGGGGUUCUGAGAGGAAGGUCCCCCACAUUGGAACUGAGACACGGUCCAAACUCCUACGGGAGGCAGCAGUGAGGAAUAUUGGUCAAUGGACGAGAGUCUGAACCAGCCAAGUAGCGUGAAGGAUGAAGGUCCUACGGAUUGUAAACUUCUUUUAUAAGGGAAUAAAACCUCCCACGUGUGGGAGCUUGUAUGUACCUUAUGAAUAAGCAUCGGCUAACUCCGUGCCAGCAGCCGCGGUAAUACGGAGGAUGCGAGCGUUAUCCGGAUUUAUUGGGUUUAAAGGGAGCGCAGACGGGUCGUUAAGUCAGCUGUGAAAGUUUGGGGCUCAACCUUAAAAUUGCAGUUGAUACUGGCGUCCUUGAGUGCGGUUGAGGUGUGCGGAAUUCGUGGUGUAGCGGUGAAAUGCUUAGAUAUCACGAAGAACUCCGAUUGCGAAGGCAGCACACUAAGCCGUAACUGACGUUCAUGCUCGAAAGUGUGGGUAUCAAACAGGAUUAGAUACCCUGGUAGUCCACACGGUAAACGAUGGAUACUCGCUGUUGGCGAUAUACGGUCAGCGGCUUAGCGAAAGCGUUAAGUAUCCCACCUGGGGAGUACGCCGGCAACGG
This 851-nucleotide ribosomal RNA is filed under the name uncultured bacterium. RNAcentral describes it as "bacterial SSU rRNA". It matches the Rfam family "Bacterial small subunit ribosomal RNA", at positions 51 to 894 of the family's 1533-position model. The record is from RNAcentral.